GUAGUCCCAGCUGUUAACUGGUGUGCACUUGGUGUUGCCGGUAUUGACCCCGCCAGUGCCGGAGUUUACGCGUUAAGUGCACCGCCUGAGGAGUACGAUCGCAAGGUUCAUACUCCUAGUAAUGUGUACGGGGGCCCGCACAAGCGGAGGAGCAUGUGGCUUAAUUCGAUGCAUACGCGAAGAACCUUACCUGGGUUUGACAUCGGAGAGGCUUGCCUCUAGCGCGUGAAAGCGCGUUAACCAGACAGGUGCUGCAUGGCUGUCGUCAGUUCGCGCCGUGAGGUGUUGGGUUAAGUCCCGCAACGAACGCAACCCUUUAUGUUUAGUUGCCUACCCCCGAGCAAUCGGGGCGCACUCUAGACAGACUGCCCGUUACAAGCGGGAGGAAGGUGGGGAUGUACGUCAAGUCCGUAUGGCCCUUACACCCAGGGCUGUACACGUGCUACAAUGGUCGGUACAGAGGGAUGCUACACCGCGAGGUUACGCAAAUCCCUAAAAGCCGGUCCCAGUUCGGAUUGCAGUCUGUUACUCGACUGCAUGAAGUUGGAUUCGCUAGUAACGGCGUAUCAGCUACGACGCCGUGAAUACGUUCCCGGGCCUUGUACACACCGCCCGUCACAUCAUGAAAGCCGUCUGCACCCGAAGUCACUGAACCAACCAGCAAUGGAGGUAGGUGCCGAAGGUGUGGGUGGUGAUUGGGAU
Molecule: ribosomal RNA, 702 nt
Filed under: uncultured organism
Description: bacterial SSU rRNA
Rfam family: Bacterial small subunit ribosomal RNA
Source: RNAcentral